GGGGAUAUAGCUCAGUGGGUAGAGUGCUUGCCUUGCAUGCAUAAGGCCCUGGGUUCAAUCCCCAGCACCA
This 70-nucleotide transfer RNA is filed under the name Urocitellus parryii (Arctic ground squirrel). RNAcentral's name for it is "Spermophilus parryii (Arctic ground squirrel) tRNA". It matches the Rfam family "tRNA". Rfam says of the family: Transfer RNA (tRNA) molecules are approximately 80 nucleotides in length. Their secondary structure includes four short double-helical elements and three loops (D, anti-codon, and T loops). The record is from Rfam by way of RNAcentral. Lineage: Eukaryota; Metazoa; Chordata; Mammalia; Rodentia; Sciuridae. RNAcentral also lists the same sequence under 1 other name.